UACAGAGGGGGCAAGCGUUGUUCGGAAUUACUGGGCGUAAAGGGCGCGUAGGCGGCCCGCUAAGUCGAACGUGAAAUCCCUGGGCUCAACCCAGGAACUGCGUCCGAUACUGGUGGGCUUGAAUCCGGGAGAGGGAUGUGGAAUUCCAGGUGUAGCGGUGAAAUGCGUAGAUAUCUGGAGGAACACCGGUGGCGAAGGCGGCUUGCCAGAACGCGCUCGACGGUGAGGGAUGAAAGCUGGGGGAGCAAACCGG
RNAcentral lists this ribosomal RNA (253 nucleotides) under uncultured bacterium. Its description in RNAcentral is "partial 16S ribosomal RNA". It matches the Rfam family "Bacterial small subunit ribosomal RNA", at positions 524 to 776 of the family's 1533-position model. The record is from RNAcentral.